UACGUAGGGUGCAAGCGUUAAUCGGAAUUACUGGGCGUAAAGCGUGCGCAGGCGGUGAUGUAAGACAGAUGUGAAAUCCCCGGGCUCAACCUGGGAACUGCAUUUGUGACUGCAUCGCUGGAGUGCGGCAGAGGGGGAUGGAAUUCCGCGUGUAGCAGUGAAAUGCGUAGAGAUGCGGAGGAACACCGAUGGCGAAGGCAGCCCCCUGGGUUAACACUGACGCUCAGGCACGAAAGCGUGGGGAGCAAACAGG
RNAcentral lists this ribosomal RNA (253 nucleotides) under uncultured bacterium. Its description in RNAcentral is "partial 16S ribosomal RNA". It matches the Rfam family "Bacterial small subunit ribosomal RNA", at positions 524 to 776 of the family's 1533-position model. The record is from RNAcentral.